This 690-nucleotide ribosomal RNA is filed under the name uncultured Rhodotorula. RNAcentral's name for it is "SSU rRNA". It matches the Rfam family "Eukaryotic small subunit ribosomal RNA", at positions 827 to 1540 of the family's 1831-position model. The record is from RNAcentral. Lineage: Eukaryota; Fungi; Basidiomycota.
CGCGCGUUCCCAUUUUGUUGGUUUCUGAGAUCGCCGUAAUGAUUAAUAGGGAUAGUUGGGGGCAUUUGUAUUCCGUCGUCAGAGGUGAAAUUCUUGGAUUGCCGGAAGACAAACUACUGCGAAAGCAUUUGCCAAGGAUGUUUUCAUUGAUCAAGAACGAAGGAAGGGGGAUCGAAAACGAUUAGAUACCGUUGUAGUCUCUUCUGUAAACUAUGCCAAUUGGGGAUCGGUACAGGAUUUUUAAUGACUGUAUCGGCACCCGAAGAGAAAUCUUUGAAUGAGGUUCGGGGGGGAGUAUGGUCGCAAGGCUGAAACUUAAAGGAAUUGACGGAAGGGCACCACCAGGUGUGGAGCCUGCGGCUUAAUUUGACUCAACACGGGGAAACUCACCAGGUCCAGACACAAUAAGGAUUGACAGAUUGAUAGCUCUUUCUUGAUCUUGUGGUUGGUGGUGCAUGGCCGUUCUUAGUUGGUGGAGUGAUUUGUCUGGUUAAUUCCGAUAACGAACGAGACCUUAACCUGCUAAAUAGACCAGCCGGCUUUGGCUAGCUGCUGUCUUCUUAGAGGGACUAUCAGCGUUUAGCUGAUGGAAGUUUGAGGCAAUAACAGGUCUGUGAUGCCCUUAGAUGUUCUGGGCCGCACGCGCGCUACACUGACAGAGCCAGCGAGUCUACCACCUUUGCCGGAAGG